Molecule: ribosomal RNA, 490 nt
Filed under: uncultured bacterium
Lineage: Bacteria
Description: partial 16S ribosomal RNA
Rfam family: Bacterial small subunit ribosomal RNA
Source: RNAcentral
AUUGAACGCUGGCGGCAGGCCUAACACAUGCAAGUCGAACGGUAACAGAAAGCAGCUUGCUGCUUUGCUGACGAGUGGCGGACGGGUGAGUAAUGUCUGGGAAACUGCCUGAUGGAGGGGGAUAACUACUGGAAACGGUAGCUAAUACCGCAUAACGUCGCAAGACCAAAGAGGGGGACCUUCGGGCCUCUUGCCAUCGGAUGUGCCCAGAUGGGAUUAGCUAGUAGGUGGGGUAACGGCUCACCUAGGCGACGAUCCCUAGCUGGUCUGAGAGGAUGACCAGCCACACUGGAACUGAGACACGGUCCAGACUCCUACGGGAGGCAGCAGUGGGGAAUAUUGCGCAAUGGGCGCAAGCCUGAUGCAGCCAUGCCGCGUGUAUGAAGAAGGCCUUCGGGUUGUAAAGUACUUUCAGCGGGGAGGAAGGGAGUAAAGUUAAUACCUUUGCUCAUUGACGUUACCCGCAGAAGAAGCACCGGCUAACUCCGUG